Molecule: RNA transcript, 1964 nt
Organism: Scylla paramamosain (green mud crab)
Lineage: Eukaryota; Metazoa; Arthropoda; Malacostraca; Decapoda; Portunidae
Gene: or
Gene name: AP-3 complex subunit sigma-1-like
Exons: 6
Source: RefSeq, a predicted model, not a curated record
AGCUGAUGUUUGUUUACGUCUGAUCUGCGCAGCCUGUCACCGACACUGUGGCCAAGCACUCGCUGGCAUACACCCCACACCAACACCCCACAAAGACACAGCGAUUUUUAAUUCAUCAAGAACGGAUACGUCCCUGCAAUCAGCUGGUGUUGCUUAAUGACCCUUUCCGACCAUCACUGACACACAUACACAAGUCUGUCUGCUGCUGUUGUUGACGGUCACGAGACAAAUCUAGAUUCUAUCACUGAGGUAACGCCCUCUGAAAAAUAACAUAGACCGUGGCGAGCAGCAAUGAUCAAGGCAAUCCUCGUGUUUAAUAAUCAUGGCAAACCAAGACUGUCCAAAUUCUACCAAUACUUUAAUGAGGAGAUGCAGCAACAGAUAAUAAAAGAAACAUUCCAACUGGUGUCUAAGAGAGAUGACAAUGUCUGCAACUUUUUGGAGGGUGGCAGCCUCAUUGGGGGAGCAGACUACAAGCUGAUCUAUCGCCACUAUGCCACGCUGUACUUUGUCUUCUGUGUAGAUUCUUCAGAGAGUGAGCUGGGAAUCCUUGACUUGAUCCAGGUCUUUGUGGAAACAUUAGACAAGUGCUUUGAGAAUGUGUGUGAACUGGAUCUCAUAUUCCAUGUUGACAAGGUGCACUACAUCCUGAAUGAGCUUGUGAUGGGAGGAAUGGUUCUGGAGACCAACAUGACAGAGAUCAUCACAAGGAUAGAUGACCAAAACAAACUAGAAAAACAGGAGGCUUCCUACUCCCCAGACUUGGCUCCGUGUGACUUUUGGCUAUUCCCAAAGCUCAAAAAUACACUCAAAGGGAGAAGAUUUCAGUCAGCAGAGGACAUCAAGCAAAAUUUGAUGCCACACAUCUACAGCAUCCCAAAAAGUGAUUUCCAGAAAUCUUACCAGUAGUCAUAGGAACACUGACAGGAGUGUGUACACUCCAAUGGCGAAUAUUUUGAAGGAGACUAAAUCUAAAAUGCUGGGUUGGCUGCAGCUCCUGCCCGUGCAGUGUCUGCAGUAAAAAACAUGAACCUCCCACAACAGAUCAAAGACAUCAAGCUUCCUGACCUGCCUGCUGCAAUAAAGGACCUCAAGUUCUGACCUCCUCCACUCUCCUGCUUCUUCCUCCAUCCCACCAUGGGUUCCAAUGCUCUGCUGGAUGUAACAUUUAGCAGUCGUGAAUUGUAACUUACUUCCCCAUAAAUUCCAAUAUUAACAUACUCAUCAUCAUUGUUAUUAUCUUCAUCUCUUCCCUAACACAGCAAGGUAAGGAUUCAGUAAAGGGAAACCAUUGUCAGACAGGAGGAAGGCUGCUGUUUAAAAUUCAUUCAUGUAACAGUCAACUGCUCAGACCCAGUAACAAUAACUCACCAACUGCAAACAGUCACAUUUUAGUGACUAUAUCAUAUUAACAGCAGUAACAUAGUUGUUGAUGAAGUGAUUUGGAUCUUUGGAAUCUCACAAGCUUUUAUUUCCUAUCUACAUAACUGUGGUUAAACUGAUCAUUAAGGUUAUAGUGUUUAUUGUAUAAUUUUAUGGUUCAUUUUGUUAUAUAAAGAAACUCAGUUAAAAGGUAUUAAACCUUCCAGAUUGCUCAAGCAGCCAAAAUCUUUCAGAAGAAAAUUAUUUGAAAAAUUCAUAAGAAUUUCAAUUUGUCCCAUGUCCUUUUUUUUUUUUACCAUAAGUGUGUGCGAGUGUGUUAUCCACUGUCUUUACUAUUGUGACCAGAGAGUUACUUACUUAUUCUUCUUUUGAAAUAUCUGACAUGGUGAAAGAUAAAUCUUAAAUAAGUUGUUUAAGUCAGAAACAGAAAGUAGAUGCAUAUGAUGGUGAGUCAUAAUUUAACCCCUUCAUGCCCAGAUGCACCACCUAAUGAAAAGCAGCAGUUCCAGCCUCACCAUAUGCACGCACUACACAUAUUUCACAUUGUUUGUAAUUUUGUUACAUAAAUAUUUUCAGCAAAA